CCUACGGGGGGCAGCAGUGGGGAAUAUUGGACAAUGGGCGCAAGCCUGAUCCAGCAAUGCCGCGUGAGUGAUGAAGGCCUUAGGGUUGUAAAGCUCUUUUACCAGGGAUGAUAAUGACAGUACCUGGAGAAUAAGCUCCGGCUAACUCCGUGCCAGCAGCCGCGGUAAUACGGAGGGAGCUAGCGUUGUUCGGAAUUACUGGGCGUAAGGCGUACGUAGGCGGUUAUUCAAGUCAGAGGUGAAAGCCCGGGGCUCAACCCCGGAACUGCCUUUGAAACUAGGUAGCUAGAAUCUUGGAGAGGUCAGUGGAAUUCCGAGUGUAGAGGUGAAAUUCGUAGAUAUUCGGAAGAACACCAGUGGCGAAGGCGACUGACUGGACAAGUAUUGACGCUGAGGUACGAAAGCGUGGGGAGCAAACAGGAUUAGAUACCCUGGUAGUCCACGCCGUAAACGAUGAUAACUAGCUGUCCGGUCACUUGGUGACUGGGUGGCGCAGCUAACGCAUUAAGUUAUCCGCCUGGGGAGUACGGUCGCAAGAUUAAAACUCAAAUGAAUUGACGG
RNAcentral lists this ribosomal RNA (561 nucleotides) under uncultured bacterium. Its description in RNAcentral is "bacterial SSU rRNA". It matches the Rfam family "Bacterial small subunit ribosomal RNA", at positions 338 to 916 of the family's 1533-position model. The record is from RNAcentral.